Molecule: long non-coding RNA, 855 nt
Organism: Magallana angulata
Lineage: Eukaryota; Metazoa; Mollusca; Bivalvia; Ostreida; Ostreidae
Exons: 6
Source: RefSeq, a predicted model, not a curated record
CGAAAUGUGAAAGUACUUUAGUAUCUGAACUAUAUUAAAUAUAUUAUGCUGCAAUCAGUUUACAAUGAAUUCCAUUGUGGUUAUACUUUUGACAUUUGUUCACACUUUGGAGGCAACUGAUAUCGGUUAUUGAAGUGAUGAAAGAGGAGGUUAUUGUAAAAACUACGAACUUCGUAAUGGAAAAUGCACAGAAUGUCCCGCUGGUACAUAUGGUUUCAACUGCACGCAUACUUGUCCUGAGGGUCAUUAUGGCAGUUUAUGCAUUGGAAUGUGUAAUUGCUCUCGUUUUGAAGUUUGUCAUCCAGCAAAAGGAUGCACUUAUGAGCUGGAAUAUUAUAAAGUUAAAUAUGAACAAUGCAAGGUUGAAGUAAAAUUGAAUAAAGAGUGCUGUAUGAACCAACGGAGGGCAGGAGAACAGUGUAAAGGAGCAAUUGUGGAUUAUGAAAGAUGGUGGCCAUUACAGCAACAAACAUGUGCUGCACAAAUAUUUCAGCUGUUGACGAUUUAGCGAAUUCUUCGACAGAAAGUGCAUCACUUAACAUCAGAUUUUUAUAGAUAAUUAUUUGAAUGGUUGACUUCGGAAAACAACACACUUACUACAGUCUAUAUCACUGUCAGCCAUUCUGCCCCCAAUUCGGUUGAAGACUUCUGUUGUGACUCCAUCAAGCACUGGUAUUGUGCUUUUAUAUGAACAGAAAUUAUACUUGUGGACCGUAUCUCCUAUUGUUUUAUCAACUUACAUGUAAUAUUUAUUAAAAUCUUUAUGUAGUAUGAAAUUAAUUACAUUUUGCAAACUAUUUUAAAGCAUUUUUACAUGUUAGAUUUUAUACGAUUGUUAAUUAUUGAUUAAAAUUG